CUCUCCCCCCCCCCCAGUUGUGUGUGAAUGAAAUGUGAUCAAUCUGCUUCCUGGCAGUUUUACCUCGAGCUCCUGUUGUCACACCAUUCCCCACCAUGAUGGCUCCAUCCCUCCGGAACUGUAAGGCUAACACAGGCUCUCUUCCAGCAUUUACAGAUGCUUUCUGAGUGGCCAGCUUGGGUGCUGAAGGACGUCACAAGCUUCAUCCUUCAUUCUCGAAGGGACUCUGGAGGAUUCUCAGGAGCACAUUUGCUGCAAGAAGGCAGAAGCCAUGGUAAGGCGAGCCACUGCCUAAGGACACACAGAUGGUGUUCAGCUGAGCCAGGAUUCUCUGGCAUGACACAGCCUGCGUACGAACCCACUCCGCUGUGCUUCUGUGAGGCGAGAGCCCUAUUGCACAGUGUGUUGGUCAGCCCUACCUGCAGUUAGUCCUCCAGACCAAGGGAACUGAGGGAAAUCUACAACCAAUGGGAACUGGCUAAGUUAGGGACCAAUACAUUCCCACAUCCCCAACCCCAAGCCCAUCCCUGUUAAUAAAUAAAGAGGUCCAGUGGCGCA
This 558-nucleotide small RNA is filed under the name Rattus norvegicus (Norway rat). RNAcentral's name for it is "uncharacterized LOC102555115". Lineage: Eukaryota; Metazoa; Chordata; Mammalia; Rodentia; Muridae. The record is from RNAcentral.